Molecule: ribosomal RNA, 555 nt
Filed under: uncultured bacterium
Lineage: Bacteria
Description: partial 16S ribosomal RNA
Rfam family: Bacterial small subunit ribosomal RNA
Source: RNAcentral
UGGGGAAUUUUGGACAAUGGGCGAAAGCCUGAUCCAGCAAUGCCGCGUGUGUGAAGAAGGCCUUCGGGUUGUAAAGCACUUUUGUCCGGAAAGAAAUCCUUGGCUCUAAUACAGUCGGGGGAUGACGGUACCGGAAGAAUAAGCACCGGCUAACUACGUGCCAGCAGCCGCGGUAAUACGUAGGGUGCAAGCGUUAAUCGGAAUUACUGGGCGUAAAGCGUGCGCAGGCGGUUUGCUAAGACCGAUGUGAAAUCCCCGGGCUCAACCUGGGAACUGCAUUGGUGACUGGCAGGCUAGAGUAUGGCAGAGGGGGGUAGAAUUCCACGUGUAGCAGUGAAAUGCGUAGAGAUGUGGAGGAAUACCGAUGGCGAAGGCAGCCCCCUGGGCCAAUACUGACGCUCAUGCACGAAAGCGUGGGGAGCAAAACAGGAUUAGAUACCCUGGUAGUCCACGCCCUAAACGAUGUCAACUAGUUGUUGGGGAUUCAUUUCCUUAGUAAUGUAGCUAACGCGUGAAGUUGACCGCCUGGGGAGUACGGUCGCAAGAUUAAAACUU